RNAcentral lists this ribosomal RNA (397 nucleotides) under uncultured bacterium. Its description in RNAcentral is "partial 16S ribosomal RNA". It matches the Rfam family "Bacterial small subunit ribosomal RNA", at positions 523 to 918 of the family's 1533-position model. The record is from RNAcentral.
AUACGUAGGUGACAAGCGUUAUCCGGAUUUACUGGGCGUAAAGGGCGUGUAGGCGGUCUUGCAAGUCAGAAGUGAAAUUCCUGAGCUCAACUCGGGCGCUGCUUCUGAAACUGCAGGACUUGAGUGCUGGAGGGGAUAGCGGAAUUCCUAGUGGAGCGGUAAAAUGCGCAGAUAUUUGGUAGAACACCGGGGGCGAAGGCGGUUAUUUGGACAGAACCUGUCGCUGUGUCGCGAAAGCGUGGGGAGAAAACUGUAGUUCAUACCCUUGUCGUCCACGCCGUAAACGAUGAAUACUAGGUGUAGGUGGUAUCGACUCCCUCUGUGCCGCAGUUAACACAAUAAGUAUUCCGCCUGGGGAGCACGGUCUCAAGGUUGAGACUCACAGGAAUUGACGGGG